RNA transcript from Selaginella moellendorffii, 2013 nucleotides. It is a transcript of the gene named polyadenylate-binding protein-interacting protein 7, with no coding region annotated. The transcript has 9 exons. The record is from RefSeq and is a predicted model, not a curated record. Lineage: Eukaryota; Viridiplantae; Streptophyta; Lycopodiopsida; Selaginellales; Selaginellaceae.
AGCCCUAAAAAACAGAGUAAUUUGGCUAUGGCCGAUGAUGGGCACCAUCGACCACAAGGAUGGUCUUCUUUCACGAAAACGAUGUACGGCAUGGCCAUCGACCAGGCUGCCAUAGAUCCAUUCCCGCCUCUAGGUACGGCACAUUCUAGGGCGAGCCAAGCAGAGGAGAUUCCAGCGAGCUACGCCAGCGCUGUGGAUCCUUUCAAUCGCGGGAGCGAUGGAGAAUCCGCGCCACUGCGCCAGAAAGAGCUUGCGGUGGGAGAUUUGCAGGGCGCGGCUGCGAGCUCCUCCAGCUCCACCAGCGAUUUGGCUAUGGCGUCGAGUAGCGGCGAUUCUUACCAUCAGCUUCGCAAGGAUGCGAUCAAAGCGUCAAGGCUGAUGAGCCGGCACGCGCGAUCCGCCGCCACUGCAUUCCAGCGCGGCGAUCAUCACAGGGCCAAGGAGCUGUCACGGCAGAGCCGGCAAGAACGCGCGCUCGCAGAGAAGCUCAACUUGGAGGCCGCGGCGGAGAUCAUGAAACUCAGGAACCAGGAGGCCGCGCUUCCGGCAGGGACGAUCGAUUUGCACGGCCUCCAUGUUCGCGAGGCAGUGGCUGUUCUCCAGCAAAGGCUAGCGGAGCUCGAGGAUCAAAUCUCUUCCUCCUUACACAGGAGCCAUCUCACAGUCAUCACAGGAACUGGAUCGCACAGUCGCGAUGGGCCUGCGAUUCCCACUGCCGUGACCAACUUUCUCAUCACUAACAACUACAGAUACACGGAGCCACGACCCGGAAUGAUCUCCGUGCAACUAAAAAUAAGGAAAGAGAUUCUCUGAAGUUUCUUAACUUACCAUGUACACUUCCAGCAUCAUCGCGACUUGUAUACAUACGUAAUCGAUUUUCUCAGAACGAAAAGAAAGAGCUUCACUAACAUUCAGCUAGUUCAACAUUAUUCGUAAUCUAGUUUCUCAGGUAAGCUGAACUUCUUCCUCCACCCGCAGAUUAUCAUCUCGUCGGGAGAGUCCGUGUGGAUAAAGCUUGGACGAGCUUCCAUAAGCUGUGAAGAUUGAUCGAACCAAUCCAGUUAAAGCCUUGCAAGUCCCGUGAGUUUUUCUUGGUGAAAAGUUCUACAAACCUCUAUAUACUUGUGAAGUGCUUCAAGCUUUUCAGGGAAAGCGAAUCCCAUAAUCUGGCCCAGUGCUACUCGAGCGUGUCGGAGCUUCGGUGCUACUGUGAAAUCCGAGUCUGUUGGUUUUUCUCCAGCAAUGUACGGACCCUUUCACCACUCGAUCCAUGUGCUGAUUAAACGAUAGGAGUUCUUUUAUCAGAUCCUGUUUGGCUGGAUGAGCUUGGUCUUUGGACUUGAGCCACUCCACGAACCUAGGAAAGAUUCCCGAUCCUCUGCGAGAAGAGAAAAUAUGCGUCUUUAGAGCAGGAUUUGGAAACUUGGCCUCCAAGUGCUCGAAGAUCCUCUCCGAGUCUUGGAUCCAUUCGGAGCCAUCUCGCAAAACGGGCAUAAGACCCGAGGGGUUCUUCUCCAUGAACCUGUUAGCCACGACGAUCUAACUAAACAAGGUGAAGCUGCAAAUUCUAGUGUACCAUGCAGGCUUGUCAGGACCUUCUUGAAUGUACGUGGCUUUGUAAGGCAGCCUCUUCUCUGAUUCGCUGCGAGAAGGGGCCUGGAAUCCAUCAAAAACGAUCGAGAACUGAGAUUCCCAGUUCCAGUGGCGGCCUUGCCGAAAACUUCGAGAUCCACUCCAGCAACGACAUGGCUCUGCGAUGGCGGCUUGAGCGCAUCGCCGUCAGCUCUAUUCACCUCCUGGACUCUGGAAAAACGCGACGAAUCUUGAGCGAGCUCGCGGAGAAAGAGAUAAAACUCUCGAGCUUUUGGUACCUGGAUGGCUCGGGGUGAUACAUUCUUCCAAGAACUCCGGAAGUUCUCACGCCAAGAAAUCUAAUUAAUUAGAGUUAAAGUUAAAUAAGUAAUAAUUAGUUUUGAAAUCAAUCAAAACCUUAAUUAAUCGUUUGCUGCUAAA